RNAcentral lists this long non-coding RNA (1744 nucleotides) under Gallus gallus (chicken). RNAcentral's name for it is "lncRNA (ENSGALG00010028661.1)". The record is from RNAcentral. Lineage: Eukaryota; Metazoa; Chordata; Aves; Galliformes; Phasianidae.
GGGAGGGCGGAGCGCGGGCCGCGCCACAGCGGCGGGUGGUGUGGGACGUGGUGGUGGGUUGCUGUCCCUGCGGUCGUAUCGAGGAGCUCAGUUAGGCUCCGUGAGGGGUUGCGGUGUUACUGAGGACUGCGAGAGGCCGUGAGCCCUCUCAGCUCUGCCCCUUGUGAGGAGAAGGGCCGCCCCAGCCCCGAAUGAAGAAGCUACACUGCCACCUGUGCACCCUUGUUUGACUGAUGCUUGAUCCUGUCUGCUGGGAAGGCUGGCUGAAUGGAGGCAGACCCAUCUCCUCUUUCUCUCCUCUGGAACGUGCUUUCAGUCUGCUGCUGCAGUGCAGAUUUGCAGCUGGGUUCUGCUCAGGGUGUGUGGCUGCUCGGCCUCACUGCUGCUUUCCUGCACUGGAUGCGUGCACCUCCAGGAGUGUUGGUUCUUCUGCAUCUCAGGGAAGGAGACUCAUCCUCAUCUGCGCCCUUUUCAGCUGUGAAGGAAGUGUUGGUGCAGGGUCUCCAGGAGGGCCAUAGGUCCUAUGGGCCAACCUGGGCUCAUCCACGCAGAGCUCCUCCUGGCGCAGUGUGUCUGCCAUAUCCCAGUUUCUCACACUGGAUGGGCUGGGCUGCACCACGGGGAGGUGUUGGGAAGCACAGCGGCUGAAUGUGCCACUGCAGAGCCCACUCACAGCCAGGGCGCAUCCCCAGACUGCUCAUUUCUGGGCUCUCUUACCACCCAUGCAAGCACCUCCAUGAGGCCAGUGUGCCAAGCAGACUCCACCAUGCGGCAUUUCCCAGCAGAUCCCCCCAUGCUGCUUCUCCAGACUGCAUGUGCAGCUGCAAGCAGGAAUUCCCAGAGGAGCAGAAGAACUCUCCGGGCUCUGCUGUUAUCCUACAAGGCAUCAGCGUGGGGCCGGAUAAACCCAACGGAUCAAGGGCAGCUUGGCUGGUCAAUGGGAGGCAGCCAAGGCAAACAGCAGUGGCUCCCAGACCUCAACAGGAGCCCCUCGGUGGCUCACUACACUUCAUUUGCUCUUUUGCUUUUAGGAGAAGGGGUGAGGUGUGGGGCUGGGCAUGACAACAUGUGGGCUCUCGAGCGAACCCCCCCAGGGCCGAUGGAAACUGCGUACCGCUCAGCACGCUGCGCACGUCAUUAGGAAAAUGUUAGUUAAAAGGAAGGAUGCAAAUGGUCCCAGGCUGUGCUUCCUGAUCACUCCGCAGUGCCUCUGUGACAUCAUGUGCUUUUGUUACGGCUCCGAAACGCCUUCGAUGCUUUUUCGGGCACGUUCCCUCCCGCUCUGUCAGGGCUGGUUCACAUUAGGAUGUUUGCUCAGCAGCUACUGGGGUUUUGGCAGGACGGCUGCUGCCUUCUGCUUGCAGAGCACGAGGGGAUCGUGGGAUGCUGCUGGACGUGUCAAAGUGGAGUAUGGUUAUGCUGGGGAGAAAAGCAGCACUCGGGUCCGGACCCAUAGGGCUCCCAUUUGGAGGUGCUGCUGGUGCAAUGGGGCUGGGGGUCCCAUCAGCAUCAUGGGAAAUGGGGACCGCAGUGACUGUGGGCUCUGCAGACCCCUCCGGGGAGGUCACCCCCAUCCCAGACCCCUGGCAAAAAAAGAAAACAGUCCCAGCGUAUUCAUACUUGCAAAAACAAACAGGAGGAAGGCAGGAGAAGGAAGGAGCACGCCGUAGAGGAGUGCUGAGUUCCUAGACCUCCAAUCCCUCCAUUUCCAAUGGCCAUUUCCUCCUGAGCACCCCACACCAAG